Molecule: ribosomal RNA, 252 nt
Filed under: uncultured bacterium
Lineage: Bacteria
Description: partial 16S ribosomal RNA
Rfam family: Bacterial small subunit ribosomal RNA
Source: RNAcentral
UACGGAGGAUGCGAGCGUUAUCCGGAUUUAUUGGGUUUAAAGGGUGCGUAGGCGGACUGUCAAGUCAGCGGUAAAAUUGAGAGGCUCAACCUCUUCCCGCCGUUGAAACUGGUGGUCUUGAGUGGAUGAGAAGUACGCGGAAUGCGUGGUGUAGCGGUGAAAUGCAUAGAUAUCACGCAGAACUCCGAUUGCGAAGGCGGCAUACCGGCGCCCUACUGACGCUGAGGCACGAAAGCGUGGGUAUCGAACAGG